UACAGAGGUCCCAAGCGUUGUUCGGAUUCAUUGGGCGUAAAGGGUGCGUAGGUGGCGCGCUAAGUCAGGUGUGAAAUUUCGGAGCUUAACUCCGAAACUGCAUUUGAUACUGGCGUGCUUGAGGACUGGAGAGGAGACUGGAAUUCACGGUGUAGCAGUGAAAUGCGUAGAUAUCGUGAGGAAGACCAGUGGCGAAGGCGGGUCUCUGGACAGUUCCUGACACUGAGGCACGAAGGCCAGGGGAGCAAACGGG
RNAcentral lists this ribosomal RNA (253 nucleotides) under uncultured bacterium. Its description in RNAcentral is "partial 16S ribosomal RNA". It matches the Rfam family "Bacterial small subunit ribosomal RNA", at positions 524 to 776 of the family's 1533-position model. The record is from RNAcentral.